GUGCUCGCUUCAGCAGCAUAUUUUCUAAAAUUCAAAGAAUACAGAGAUUAGCAUGGCUCCUGCGCAAGCAUGACAUGCAAAUUUGUGAAGCAUUCCAUAUUUAA
Callithrix jacchus (white-tufted-ear marmoset) is the source of this 104-nucleotide small nuclear RNA. The record is from Ensembl. NCBI's taxonomy places the organism in Eukaryota, Metazoa, Chordata, Mammalia, Primates, Cebidae.